This 497-nucleotide ribosomal RNA is filed under the name uncultured bacterium. Its description in RNAcentral is "partial 16S ribosomal RNA". It matches the Rfam family "Bacterial small subunit ribosomal RNA", at positions 28 to 507 of the family's 1533-position model. The record is from RNAcentral.
GAUGAACGCUGGCGGCGUGCCUAAUACAUGCAAGUCGAGCGAACAGACGAGGAGCUUGCUCCUCUGACGUUAGCGGCGGACGGGUGAGUAACACGUGGAUAACCUACCUAUAAGACUGGGAUAACUUCGGGAAACCGGAGCUAAUACCGGAUAAUAUAUUGAACCGCAUGGUUCAAUAGUGAAAGACGGUUUUGCUGUCCCUUAUAGAUGGAUCCGCGCCGCAUUAGCUAGUUGGUAAGGUAACGGCUUACCAAGGCGACGAUGCGUAGCCGACCUGAGAGGGUGAUCGGCCACACUGGAACUGAGACACGGUCCAGACUCCUACGGGAGGCAGCAGUAGGGAAUCUUCCGCAAUGGGCGAAAGCCUGACGGAGCAACGCCGCGUGAGUGAUGAAGGUCUUCGGAUCGUAAAACUCUGUUAUUAGGGAAGAACAAAUGUGUAAGUAACUAUGCACGUCUUGACGGUACCUAAUCAGAAAGCCACGGCUAACUACGUG